GGCAAUAGCGGCGCGUAUUCGCCCUUAGAGUUUGAUUAUGGCUCAGAACGAACACUGGCGGCGUGGAUUAGGCAUGCAAGUCGAACGAGAAAGUUCCCUUCGGGGAGCGAGUACAGUGGCGAACGGGUGAGUAACGGGUGGAAAACCUGCCCUUCAAUGGGGGAUAACAGUUCUAACGAGCUGCUAAUACCGCAUACGACCCUUGGUCCGUAUGGUCCGAGGAUGAAAGAUGGCCUCUAUUUAUAAGCUGUCGUUGAAGGAUGGUUCCGCCUCCCAUUAGCUAGUUGGUGGGGUAAUGGCCUACCAAGGCGACGAUGGGUAGCCGGCCUGAGAGGGUGUCCGGCCACACUGGGACUGAGAUACGGCCCAGACUCCUACGGGAGGCAGCAGUCGAGAAGCUUCCGCAAUGGGGGAAACCCUGACGGAGCGACGCCGCGUGAACGAAGAAGGUCCUAUGGAUUGUAAAGUUCUGUCAGAUUGGGAAGAAAACUGCGCGGUUAAUACCCGUACAGCUUGACGGUACCAUCAGAGGAAGCACCGGCUAACUCCGUGCCAGCAGCCGCGGUAAUACGGAGGGUGCAAGCGUUGUUCGGAUUCACUGGGUAUAAAGGGUGCGCAGGCGGCCUGUUAAGUCAGGGGUGAAAUAUGACGGCUCAACCGUCAAACUGCCCCUGAAACUGAUAGGCUUGAGUCCGAGAGAGGUAGGUGGAAUUCCAGGUGUAGCGGUGAAAUGCGUAAAUAUCUGGAGGAACACCAGUGGCGAAGGCGGCCUACUGGCUCGGAACUGACGCUCAGGCACGAAAGCAUGGGGAGCGAACGGGAUUAGAUACCCCGGUAGUCCAUGCCGUAAACGAUGGGUACUAGGUGUUUGGAGGAUUCUACCCCUUCAGUGCCGCAGCUAACGCAUUAAGUACCCCACCUGGGGAGUACGAUCGCAAGGUUGAAACUCAAAGGAAUUGACGGGGGCCCGCACAAGCGGUGGAGCAUGUGGUUUAAUUCGAUGCAACGCGAGGAACCUUACCUGGGCUUGACAUGCAGGGGACAGUGUAGAAAUACACUCUUCUUCGGACUCUGUACAGGUGCUGCAUGGCUGUCGUCAGCCUCGUGUCGUGAAAUGUUAGGGUUAAGUU
RNAcentral lists this ribosomal RNA (1130 nucleotides) under uncultured Latescibacterota bacterium. Its description in RNAcentral is "bacterial SSU rRNA". It matches the Rfam family "Bacterial small subunit ribosomal RNA", at positions 1 to 1086 of the family's 1533-position model. The record is from RNAcentral. Lineage: Bacteria; Pseudomonadati; Candidatus Latescibacterota.